AACGAACGCUGGCGGCAUGCCUAACACAUGCAAGUCGAACGAGACCUUCGGGUCUAGUGGCGCACGGGUGCGUAACGCGUGGGAACCUGCCCUUAGGUUCGGAAUAACUCCCCGAAAGGGGUGCUAAUACCGGAUAAUGUCUUCGGACCAAAGAUUUAUCGCCUUUGGAUGGGCCCGCGUUGGAUUAGCUAGUUGGUAGGGUAAAAGCCUACCAAGGCGACGAUCCAUAGCUGGUCGGAGAGGAUGAUCAGCCACACUGGGACUGAGACACGGCCCAGACUCCUACGGGAGGCAGCAGUGGGGAAUAUUGGACGAUGGGCGAAAGCCUGAUCCAGCAAUGCCGGGUGAGUGAUGAAGGCCUUAGGGUUGUAAAGCUCUUUUACCCGGGAUGAUAAUGACAGUACCGGGAGAAUAAGCUCCGGCUAACUCCGUG
RNAcentral lists this ribosomal RNA (433 nucleotides) under uncultured bacterium. RNAcentral describes it as "partial 16S ribosomal RNA". It matches the Rfam family "Bacterial small subunit ribosomal RNA", at positions 29 to 507 of the family's 1533-position model. The record is from RNAcentral.